Molecule: long non-coding RNA, 937 nt
Filed under: Homo sapiens (human)
Lineage: Eukaryota; Metazoa; Chordata; Mammalia; Primates; Hominidae
Description: HSALNT0256075
Source: RNAcentral
GGGAUUACAGGCGUGAGCCACUGCGCCCCACCCUCACUUGUUUAUUUACUUGUUUUGUAAACAUUAUUUACUGAGCAUGAUCAAACUGCUAGACUGGAGAGGCUGCUGCAAUCUCCUCCCUCUGCCCCCGCCAUUUCCUGGUACCCAUCCUUGCUGGUGGUGUCUGCAAUCAGCGGGGCCCUGGCUGAGUUCACGGGAAAGGAAAUGGCUCAUUGCUUCAGCCUUUAGACCGGGGGGCAGGGAGGGCCUGUCGGGAGGCCGCCUAGUCAGGGGCGUGUCAGAGGCCAGAGGGGCCGGGGCCCAGCAGCUGGGGCUUGGUAAGCUCUGGAGCCUGGGCUCCAGGCCAGCUCGCUGCCAACCUCCACCUGAGACCACCCCACCCCCAACCCCCUUCCUUCUCUCCCCUGCUGCCGAGGCGCGCCCUUCCGGAGUGAAACUUUGGUUUCUCACGACCCGGAAGGCUUGAAGCAAACCUGCAAUUACUCACUGCCUGGUCUGUGCGGGCUGCAGCUCUCAGACUCAGGAUGAGGUGGCGGUGGCGCUGUCGACUGACUCCUUGGCUUGUUCAGGCUGUGCAACCUCAGUCUCUCCUCCGCGAUGGCUGCCCCUGUCUGCUCAUCCUCACCUGGCCUUCAGCAGGUGCUCAGCUGACAUCGGUGAGGGAAUGGGAGUGAUUCGUCAUCACAGUAACCGUGUACUUCAGAGAUGGGAUCUUUCUACGUCACCCAGGCUGGAAUGCAAUGGUUAUUCACAGGUGUGAUCAUAGCUGGUCUUGACCUCGUGGGCUCAAGUGAUCCUCCUGCCUCAGCCUCCUGAACAGCUGGGACUACAGGUGUGUGCCACCACAUUUGGCUUACCAUUAUUUUAGAAGGACUUACACCUGUCUUGCUAUCUGGAGUCUGCAGAUUUCUUACCCAAGGGCUGUGCGGAUCAGAGC